UCUUACCGGGUCGAUUGACACUAUUCAACUUUAUAAUAAGUGUGAGAUACAUGUUUACAUAAAGUGGCCCGGAAAAUGACAUGCCUCAAAUUAGGACAAGGAAAAGUAUUAAACGAUCAAUUAUUAAACUAAUUUCAAACUUUAUGGUUCCAUAGUAGCUUGAGAAGGCUCAAUGAUACACAUGACCUUUACACGAGCUAGAAGGAAAACUGUUCAAAAGUUUGCAAGCGAGAAGUGUAUUAGGUCGAAAGUUUCCUCUGACUAAGCAGGUGCGCGUGUUUUAAUGACACGAGUUGAUUCAAAUAGGCGUGAAUGUCACUUGUGAACAAAUUCAAGGACUAAAAAAAACUCGUCUUUCUAUUCGACUGCGUGUGUGUUAGGCCAUGACUGUAUGCUCCCGCACUCUGAAGAUCUGCUGUCGUGGCUUGUACCGGGUGGCAUACAAUAGCACCCCGUGGAGAGGAUACACCUUGUUGGCAAUGAUCAUGGAUUAAAGGCACACCGAGAAAGCCAAAUAUAUGAAGUACUGUGUCAAGCCGUGCAAAGGUACACUUCUGUUGAAUGACCCCAGCCUAAAUGGCCCUACGCACUCGUUCCGCUCAGCCACAAGGGAUUUCACAAGCCUGAUAUCACAAUGUACACCGUGUUGUCGCGUUUCAAGUGCGCUGUCAGACGUUAUAGACAACGAAAGGCGAUAUAGAGGGAAGGGACAUGCUAUCAGGUUCACGGAGUGAUGUCUUCAAGAAGGAAAUAGCUAUCUAAUGAUUGAAACUGGGGCAUGAUAACGAGGUAAAAAUAUAUUCGUGAAAAACAUUUUUGUGAAGUUAUCUGAAGCCUGUGCUCAAUAGAAACUCCAUGUUGUUAAAGUCUCAUAAAAGUCCUCUCUAUCGUU
Haliotis rufescens (red abalone) is the source of this 892-nucleotide long non-coding RNA. RefSeq lists it as uncharacterized. The record is from RefSeq and is a predicted model, not a curated record. Lineage: Eukaryota; Metazoa; Mollusca; Gastropoda; Lepetellida; Haliotidae. The transcript has 2 exons.